Long non-coding RNA from Antechinus flavipes (yellow-footed antechinus), 812 nucleotides. RefSeq lists it as uncharacterized. The transcript is spliced from 2 exons. NCBI's taxonomy places the organism in Eukaryota, Metazoa, Chordata, Mammalia, Dasyuromorphia, Dasyuridae. The record is from RefSeq and is a predicted model, not a curated record.
GUGCCCUGGGAAAAGAGGCAGGGAGCAACAGACAGAAAAGAAAACCAAGACUUCAGUUUUUCAUAACAUAUCAAUUGGGAGACAUUCAGAAAAGUAAAUAACCAAAAAGUCUCCCCUUUCUUCUGUCCCAUCUUUCUUUUGCUAAUGAAGUAUAGUCAACUCUUAAUUAUCUCUUGAAGACAAAGCGAUUUUUAAUAUAUCUUGAAGACAAAGCGAUUUUCAAUCCUUGGAUGGAUUUUCCUACUGAACAUAUCUUCUCGAUGCUACUUAUUUUAAUCUCAAUGGAUCUUUGACCCCACUCAUGCGUAGCUCACUAUCCAUCUGUAGAAACUGUCCAACAUCUAUCAAUGGAUCAGCUCAACGGAUUGUUGAGUCAACUGCAUUUCUAGACAUUAGGCAUUCUUCAUUCAGCUGUAAAUUAGGCCAAACCCUUUGAAAUUUUUUUGGAAUCUCAUGGAUGUUUUGAAGUGUUCUGGAGUUUGAUGCAAUCAGCAAAAUAUCUUGCAAAAACAGAAGUAAAUGAAAGCCUUUAUCAGUCUUUGUUGGAAAUUUUCGAAGAAAGGGGCCAGGAGCACAUUUACCUGUUUUAUGACUCAACUGAUAGUAAUAAGAAAAUUCUUCAACGAAGAUAUUUCUCUUGUUGCAUACAUCAAGGAAUUUUGUACGAUAUUAAUAUGCAUGGAAUACACCUUUUAGUAGAAAUCUGGUUGGUAUGUAAUCAAAUAAUUCACUUUAAUAAUUAAAUAAUUAAGACACUGCUGAGAAAAAAAGUUACUAUGCAUCUCAAAAUAAAAUGCAAAUUACUCCUGUAA